Molecule: long non-coding RNA, 282 nt
Organism: Salvelinus namaycush (lake trout)
Lineage: Eukaryota; Metazoa; Chordata; Actinopteri; Salmoniformes; Salmonidae
Exons: 3
Source: RefSeq, a predicted model, not a curated record
CACCUAGCAACCGCACCAGGAGCCAUGUUGGAAGACCAAUCAGUCUGUUGGAAGUCCUCCAAUAGUCCAAAUGGCUGGCUGUGUUCUGCUAUCGCUGGAAACUUCGGGAAGAUUGCCCAUUAUUUUGUUUUUCUAAGGACCCAGAAAACGGAGGCAUUGAGCGAACCUAUUCAAAUAUAGAGAGCCGUGAAACCCUGUCUGCAGCUGAAGAGGUCCCAAUGAAUGUCCCAAGAGAAUAAAGGGGCCUCCCGAGUGGCGUAGCGGUCUAAGGCACUGCAUCGC